ACCUGCCACCAGUUAGAAAGAUCACAGUGUCACAGCGCCCAGGUCCUCCGCUCCGGUCCUCGCAAGGGGGUACGCUCCCUUCCUCCCCACCUGUCCGGCUGGGUUUCCCGGAGUGAUGCCCUAGCGGUGGGAGUGAGAACACGCCGCGCGGGAGCCUCCUUUCGGUUCGGCUCCCCCAGCUGGACCCCGAAGCCCCGGGGGAAGGAAACUACCAUUCAGGGCUCUCCCAUCCCCGCCCCGUUCCUCUCUCCGGCUCGCUGCCCGUCUCGCUUUGAUGCCGCCGAGCCCCAUCGCUACUUCGGGGCGGCCGUCAGGCGGAGGCGGCUGCGAGCUCCCGGGCUCCAGGGACGGAGAUGGGGCAGGGUGAGUGAGCCGGCCCGGCGAGAGGCUCCGCACCGCCCGGCACCCGCCCACGGGCAGAGGAGGCGCUGUCUGGCCCGGCCCGCGCGGGGCAGAGCCUGGGAGAGGCUUGCCGCUCUCCCCUUCCUCCCAGUCCCGGCUGGGAGCCGAACGCGAGCGCGCCGGGGGAGGGAGGAGUGGGAGAGGAAGCCUCGGGAGAGAACAGGGAGCCACUGUGUCCUUUUGAAAAGAAAGUAGGAACGCUGGGUGGGAAAAAACAAAGGCGCCCUCCCAACUUUUCUUCGCGAAAAGUUUUCCCAGGGCGUUUUGUUUGUGCGAACUCGGCCGGCGGAGCCCGGGAUCGCGCUGCCGGCGUGGCGGCUGUGCCUGUGCGCCUCGCCCCGCUCCUCCUCCUUCCAGCCUGGGCAGCUCCGCUCCCUCCCCG
RNAcentral lists this long non-coding RNA (784 nucleotides) under Capra hircus (goat). Its description in RNAcentral is "lncRNA (ENSCHIG00010009530.1)". Lineage: Eukaryota; Metazoa; Chordata; Mammalia; Artiodactyla; Bovidae. The record is from RNAcentral.